UUUGCUUUGAAUUUUAUAUUUACUAUCUGAUUACAAGUUCUGAACCAAGAAAGCAAACACUAAAUGUUCUUUUCAAGAACUUCAGGAAUGACCCAUGGCGAAGAGGAGGGGGCUUCAGGCAUGGCUGCCGUAAUAAGGCUCCUGGAGGAAUGAAAGAGGCUCCUAUUGAGGACGACGGAUGACACAAAAAGAACCAUGGAAGAGCACAUGGGGCGAAUGACUAGGAGAAUGGAGGCUAUGGAGAGGAGGAUGGAGGGUAUGGAGAGGAAGUCAGAGACAUUGGAGGCUGCUGUGGUCUCGAACCCGCCUCAGCCUCCUCUGCAGGAAGAUGUGCUGUUGGGCCUAUGCAGCACAGUGGAGGAGCUGGAGGAGCUAGACAGGAGUCUGGCUCAACCAGAAAGAAGGAACCAAAUGGUAAUUAAUUGGACAUAAUUAUAUAUGAAAUAAAUUGUCAUUGGUAAUGUAUUGAUUUGGCUAAUGAAA
This is a long non-coding RNA of Neoarius graeffei (lesser salmon catfish), 483 nucleotides long. RefSeq lists it as uncharacterized. The transcript is spliced from 3 exons. The record is from RefSeq and is a predicted model, not a curated record. NCBI's taxonomy places the organism in Eukaryota, Metazoa, Chordata, Actinopteri, Siluriformes, Ariidae.